UGAUAUGAAGAGCUUGCUCUGAUUUGAUUUUAUCUGACAAAGAGUGGCGAACGGGUGAGUAACACGUGGGUAACCUACCUCUUAGCAGGGGAUAACAUUUGGAAACAAGUGCUAAUACCGUAUAACACUAACAACCGCAUGGUUGUUAGUUGAAAGAUGGUUCUGCUAUCACUAAGAGAUGGACCCGCGGUGCAUUAGCUAGUUGGUAAGGUAAUGGCUUACCAAGGCGAUGAUGCGUAGCCGAGUUGAGAGACUGAUCGGCCACAAUGGGACUGAGACACGGCCCAUACUCCUACGGGAGGCAGCAGUAGGGAAUCUUCCACAAUGGGCGCAAGCCUGAUGGAGCAACGCCGCGUGUGUGAUGAAGGGUUUCGGCUCGUAAAACACUGUUAUAAGAGAAGAACGACAUUGAGAGUAACUGUUCAGUGUGUGACGGUAUCUUAUCAGAAAGGAACGGCUAAAUACGUGCCAGCAGCCGCGGUAAUACGUAUGUUCCAAGCGUUAUCCGGAUUUAUUGGGCGUAAAGCGAGCGCAGACGGUUAUUUAAGUCUGAAGUGAAAGCCCUCAGCUCAACUGAGGAAGGGCUUUGGAAACUGGAUAACUUGAGUGCAGUAGAGGAAAGUGGAACUCCAUGUGUAGCGGUGAAAUGCGUAGAUAUAUGGAAGAACACCGGU
Molecule: ribosomal RNA, 674 nt
Filed under: Weissella paramesenteroides
Lineage: Bacteria; Bacillati; Bacillota; Bacilli; Lactobacillales; Lactobacillaceae
Description: bacterial SSU rRNA
Rfam family: Bacterial small subunit ribosomal RNA
Source: RNAcentral